CUGCUCUUUACUUUCGACACAUUUCUGGUGUUUUAAGAUGCCUGAGCCAGCCAAGUCUGCUCCCGCCCCGAAGAAAGGCUCUAAGAAGGCGGUGACCAAGGCACAGAAGAAAGAUGGCAAGAAGCGCAAGCGCAGCCGGAAGGAGAGUUACUCUGUGUACGUGUACAAGGUGCUGAAGCAGGUCCACCCCGACACUGGCAUCUCUUCGAAGGCCAUGGGCAUCAUGAAUUCUUUUGUUAACGACAUAUUUGAGCGCAUCGCGGGCGAGGCUUCCCGCCUGGCGCAUUACAACAAGCGGUCGACCAUCACCUCCAGGGAGAUCCAGACGGCGGUGCGCCUGCUGCUUCCCGGAGAGCUGGCCAAACACGCCGUAUCGGAGGGCACCAAGGCUGUCACCAAGUACACGAGCUCCAAGUAAACUUUCCAAGUAAGCAUCUUAACACCUAACCCCAAAGGCUCUUUUAAGAGCCACCAACAUACCCACUAAAAGAGCUGUGGCCAGACGCCAACUUUUAUUUGGCGGCGGGAGGGUAUUAGAAGGUAGGGAUUGGAGAGGGGUGGGGACAAGUAUUGCAGCUUAGAGGGACAAAGGAGCCUGAACCCGGAAGAAGCCAGCUAUUAAAAAUGGGUUUGGGGGGGUCAAUUCGUUGUGCUUAAAUUUAAAAUGGAGACAAGCGGCCAUUUUGCUUGCUAACUCGGCGUUCCCAGAAGAAACCUGGCUCGCUUAGGUUUCGGACCCAGCUGUCGCUGUACGUCGCCAGGAUCAACGGUUGCCGUAAUGUCAUAAUUUCGCCACCAGCUUCCAGCCAAUAGGCUGUCCUGUCAUUUUUAAUAUUAACCAUUCGAGGGAAAGCUGGUUUGAAACGCUGAUUUACGUAGCGGACCGGAGUGGGAACCUGGGCAGUAACUGUCUAAGGAAGGGACACCCCCUCCUCUGUUUUCGUGGCGCACACCUUCGUAGUAUACUGAACGCUGUGUCUCCUGGGUUUCCAACUGCCCCAGGGGAGACAACAGCUUUUAGACAUAUCUUUUCCAGCGGUCGUCGCUGCUGGACACUGUUUCAUCUUGCAAAUAAACCAAUGAAAAUGAGUGAUUGUAGAAGAAGAUAAAUGGAGGUAUUUUGAACAAUCAAAGAAGGACAAAUGAACACCUGGCUAAGAAAAACUAGCUUUUUUUCUAUGCAUAAAACUAUUAAAAUGUUCUUCAUAGAAAUUUAUGACUUGAGAAACAUAAAGACAAAAUUAAAAUAACUCCUAGUAUCUCCUAUUCUUUUUAUAUGUAUAUCAUAUAUAUUCAUAUUCAUAUAUACAUAUCUCACAUCAUGUAUCAUAUAUAAAAUAAAUUUAGGUGUCAUAUGAUAUGUAUUUAGAUAAAUAUACUUAGAAAAUUUUUUACGGAUGUAUAAUUUAUGGAUGUAUUGAUAAUUAUGUAUUCGUUAUUGACUACUUCGAUUGAUUCCCAUUUUUAUGCAUUUUAUUAUAGAUUAUACAGCUCACACAUCUUUGUACAUAAAUCUUUGUUCAAAUAUUAUUUCCUAAGGAUAGACUUCAUGAAGUGGAAAUACUAAAUCAAAAGUGAAAAACAUUUUUUAAGGUUCUUAACAUAUACAUUCCCAAAUUGCUAUUCAGGAUCAUACCAAUUUAUAAUCCCAACAUAAUAUGGAAAUUCCUGUUUUAUAGCACUCAUAUUUACAAUAAAUUUUUAAAAUCAUUGUUAACCUAAUAGGCCCCCAAAAGAAAAAAAAUUGAAAUUACAUUUCUUUAUUUUAAUGACUCUAUUACUGAGGGUCAUUUUUCCCAUGUUUCUUGUUAGCCAUGACCCUAUAAGAAAUAAACUGCGCUGCAAAAUCAUAAACAUGAUUAUCAGUCAUUACAUGGGAAGGCACUAUAUAAAGAAUAAUACCUUAGGUUAAGGCCAAAUAAAUAUUUAUCAGGUGCCUCUUCUGCGGAGGACUCUGAAGGGAUACUAAACUGCAUUUAGCUGCAUGCAACUGAAACUACUUUUACCUACAUUUUCUCUUACAAACAUUAUAACUACUCUUUGAGAAAGUGUUUACUAUGGACUGAAUUUUCUCCCCAUCCCCCCAAAUUCAUAUAUUGAAGCCAUAAACCCCAAUAUGACUCUAUUCCUAGACAGGACUUAUAAGAGGUAAUUAAGGUUAAAUGAAGUCAGUAGGAUGGGUUCCUAACUGGAUAGGAUUGGUGGCCUUAUAAGAAGAGGAAGAUUCUGCACUUGGUCUUCCAAAUUAAAUAAUUUAUUUAAAAGAAAAAAAAAAGAGGAAGAGAGAGAGCUCUGCACAUAUACUGAGGAAAGGCUAUGUGAGCUCUCACAGUGAGAAGGUAGCACUCUACAAGCCAGCAAGAGAGCUCUCACCAGAAUCCAGCCAUGCUAUACCCUGCUCUGAGACUUCCAGCCUCCAGAACUGUGAGAAAAUUUUGUUGUUUAAACCACACAAUCUAUGGUAUUUUGUUAUGGCAGCCCAAGCCAACAAAGACAGCAUCAUUGCUGUCACUUACAGACAAUAAAACUAAGACUAGGAGAGAUAAAAGUUAAACUUGUCCAAGGUCACAAAAGCCAGAAACAAGUGAGGUGAGAAGCUGACCUUGUUCUCCUCAAUCCAAGGCCAGGACUCCUCCACUCCACAUGUAGAUAGCCACCUCACAGUCAACAGCCAAAUGUCCACACCCCAGAGUCAGCAUUAGACCAAGAUGUCUUACCAGGAGACAAAUGCCUCAUCUUGAAUAAAUAUGUUCUAACAACUUACCCAUGUAAAAUAUUGAACCUCAUGAAAAACAAAAAUGCAAAGUAUGUAGAAAACUAUGCUUGCCACUUAAUUGACAGUGAUACAAAGCUUAAUGAUAUCCUUAUAGUCUUGGAGGGGUUUGUAUAUGUGGUGAAACAGGUGCUCACGCACUGCUGAUAGACUGUAAAUUGGUCCCAGAGAGACAAAUAAACUGGAAGGAGAUAUG
Symphalangus syndactylus (siamang) is the source of this 2969-nucleotide RNA transcript. It is a transcript of the gene named histone H2B type 1-C/E/F/G/I, with no coding region annotated. NCBI's taxonomy places the organism in Eukaryota, Metazoa, Chordata, Mammalia, Primates, Hylobatidae. The record is from RefSeq and is a predicted model, not a curated record.